CUUACUUUGAUUAGACAUAGUACUAGAGCCGAUUUACGCAAUCGAAUACCGCCGGAAGUAGAACAUUUAUGUCGACACCGGUUUCGUAUUUCACGUGAAAUCGGCCGAAAACUGAGAGGUUAUCAACAAAUUAUAAGUUUACGGGUACCAUGAGGAUUUUUCAUGCAUUUAAACGACAGAAGUACAAGCGAACAGAUGACACAUUAAAGUGGCUGCAGAAGCUUGAAAAGUUAGAUAGAGCAGGGACAGUCAAAACUGUGGGAUAAUACUUCUAUGGUGUCCAACAUGUUUAGUCAGGUUGACAGAAGUGAAAGAUGGUCUGAUGGUACAAUGAUGUACAAAUGAUACUCUUUAACAAGUUUAACAUGUCAAAGUGUAAAAUGUUCUGUGGAUUCAUAUGAUGAGAAUGCCAAUGUUGAUCUGUAUGACUUAAUUAAACACAGAUAUUGAUACAUUCAGAUAUAUACCUGUGAAAUCUUCAGUGUCACCGUUCAGCUAUUGUUCAAGAUCAGUGUCUGUAGCUUGCACAGUUUAGUAUAGAGGAGCCUUCUGAAUCAAUUUUGUUACAUAUUUGCUGUUAUUGUAGGACGCACAUGUAGAGAGCAACAAGUCCUGUCCAACUGUGCAUGUAAAUAUGAUUCAGAAACUUUGAGAAUAUGUAAACACUACACUGUUAUAAUUUUCAAAAUACUGUGUCUUGUAGUGUAUCAGUUCUGUUUUGUCUCAGUUUAUAGCACAGUAUGUUCACAAAUCAAACUUAAGAUCAUAGAUAUCAGUAUUAUUAAAAUCAUUAAUUAUUUGUAUGGUGACAAAAUUUAAUUUCAUGCAAUACCACAGUGAAACGUUUGAUAAUUUUUUUUUUUAAGUUGUAAGUUUAAAGUUGGCAUCAAUUGUUUUUCUCCUUCAUAAAUCUAAAAAGUGAUUGGUCAUUAUAUUUGCAAUAUCAUUUUAGUGUGACAAAGAUUAUAUUUAACUGAAACGCUAAUGUAAAUUUUUGAACUAUUCAAUGCAUUUUCUUAAGUCUUAAAACAUUUGUUUAUCGUACAUGUCAGGGCCAAUAACUCCUCCAUAUUACUUGUGUUUUGUCCUUUUUCAUUUCACUGAAGGAUAGGUAGAGGUAUUGCACAUCCAUUUUUUAGCAUCCUGAUUUUAUAAAGUGUUGUAUGUAAGGUUUUAUCUCGGAAUUAUGUCUCGUCUAAAGGUGGGGAGAGGUAUUGUUUAUGCCUUCUCGUCUGUCCGCAUUAAGCCUGUCUGACUUUAAGAGGACAAGUUGCUGGCCAGAUUUUGAUAAAACUUCACAGGAAUGAUCAGUACCAAGCAUAGUGUUGUGCAUAUCGAUUGCAUGUUUCGUUUCGAUGCACUAAAUUGCAGCCAGAGCUAAAAAUAGAAAAAUCUUGUCAGCUUUCACAGGUCAAAACUACUUAACAGAUUUUGAUGAAACUUUACAGGAGUGAUCAGUACCAAGUAUAUUUUUGCAUAUCACCGACACUUUCCAUUUUGCUAAUUUGCUGCACAAAAUAGCCGCCAUAGCAUAAAGGUAUACAUUGGUGGGAGACAUGUUUUGUCAUAAAAAUACCUAAAACACCUUCCACUUUGUUAAAGAAAAUUGUAUUAAACUUCUUACAAUUGCAAACUGUAAUAAUUUGACAUUAAAUGCACUAGUUACAUAAUUGCAUUUGGCUUUUUUUCGUAAUUAUUGCCCUUUUCUUACCAUAGCAAUAUUUUGUGUAACAUGUUACCUCAUUAAGCAUCAUAAGAUCAGAAAGUUCUAUGACUCAGAAAUGUUGGCCCUUUUGUACUUGUCAUGAGUAUGUUUUCAGUAUUUUAUAUUGUCAUUACUUUUUGUUGUGCGAGUUUAAGGAAAUGAAGACUUAGUUGUCCAAAUGGUGUGCCUGUGCCUGUCCUGAUUUGUUUGUCUGGACAAUAUAUUAUUGAUUAGUCUUCACGAAACUUCCCUGUCAGCUUUGAUAGUGGCAUGGUUACUUUAAAAGUGAUGUCACCACUGUACUAGUCAAAAGUUUUGUAUUUCAGAUUUUAUAUCACAUUACAGGCUACUGGUCUUUAGCAGCCUUCAUAAAACUUAUAAAAAACUCAUAAAAGUUUCCAAAAAUGCUGUAUUUUGAUUUGAACUGGCAUUAUUCAAACAUUAAGAAGUAGUACUAUAAGGCAACAUUUGACCUCUUUUCCAAUACUUUUUGAUUUUCUCUGUUACUAUGAAGUUGCAUUUUCCUAGAAAUUGGUUGGCUUAUUUUUUUAUGAUCUUAUGUUUUUAAUGAAUUGUAGCUAUAUGUUCUUUUUCUCAUGAAAAUGUCCAUUUUUAUAUAAUUCAUAUUUGUUACUGUCAACAAAGUGCAAUACCACAUACUUAUCACUUCCAUUAACAUACUUGUACUAUUUUCAUAAAACAUUAUAUAAAUCAUUAUAUUUCAUAUAAACAGAAUUAAAUAAAUAUUUAAGAACAUCA
Mercenaria mercenaria is the source of this 2464-nucleotide long non-coding RNA. RefSeq lists it as uncharacterized. The record is from RefSeq and is a predicted model, not a curated record. The transcript is spliced from 5 exons. NCBI's taxonomy places the organism in Eukaryota, Metazoa, Mollusca, Bivalvia, Venerida, Veneridae.